This 75-nucleotide transfer RNA is filed under the name Candidatus Woesebacteria bacterium RIFCSPHIGHO2_01_FULL_44_21. RNAcentral's name for it is "tRNA-Lys". It matches the Rfam family "tRNA". Rfam says of the family: Transfer RNA (tRNA) molecules are approximately 80 nucleotides in length. Their secondary structure includes four short double-helical elements and three loops (D, anti-codon, and T loops). Lineage: Bacteria; Candidatus Woeseibacteriota. RNAcentral also lists the same sequence under 1 other name. The record is from RNAcentral.
GGUCCCGUAGCUCAAUGGUAGAGCAGCGCCCUCUUAAGGCGAUGGUUGGAGGUUCGAGCCCUCCCGGGAUCACAA